CCCUUAGAUGUUCUGGGCUGCACGCGCGCUACACUGAUGCGAUCAACAAGUUUUUCCUAUGUCGAUAGACACGGGUAAUCUUUUGAACUCGCAUCGUGAUGGGGAUAGAUUAUUGUAAUUAUUAAUCUUCAACGAGGAAUUCCUAGUGGGUGCAAAUCAUCAGUUUGCAUCGAUUACGUCCCUGCCCUUUGUACACACCGCCCGUCGCUGCUACCGAUUGGUUGAUCUGGUGAAUUAUUCGGACUGCCGGCUGAAGGGGUUUCCUCAUCUGCCAGCGGAAAGUCUUGUUAACCCUAUCAACUAGAGGAAGCAGAAGUCGUAACA
Molecule: ribosomal RNA, 324 nt
Filed under: uncultured eukaryote
Lineage: Eukaryota
Description: partial 18S ribosomal RNA
Rfam family: Eukaryotic small subunit ribosomal RNA
Source: RNAcentral